UACGGAGGGUGCGAGCGUUGUCCGGAAUCACUGGGCGUAAAGGGCGCGUAGGCGGCGUCGCGAGUCAACGGUGAAAGCUCAGGGCUCAACCCUGAGUCGGCCGUCGAUACUGCGAGGCUUGAGCACUGUAGAGGCAGGUGGAAUUCCGGGUGUAGCGGUGGAAUGCGUAGAGAUCCGGAAGAACACCGGUGGCGAAGGCGGCCUGCUGGGCAGUAGCUGACGCUGAGGCGCGACAGCGUGGGGAGCAAACAGG
Molecule: ribosomal RNA, 253 nt
Filed under: uncultured bacterium
Lineage: Bacteria
Description: partial 16S ribosomal RNA
Rfam family: Bacterial small subunit ribosomal RNA
Source: RNAcentral